GAUGAACGCUGGCGGCGUGCCUAAUACAUGCAAGUCGAGCGAACGGACGAGAAGCUUGCUUCUCUGAUGUUAGCGGCGGACGGGUGAGUAACACGUGGAUAACCUACCUAUAAGAAUGGGAUAACUUCGGGAAACCGUAGCUUAUACCGGAUAAUAUUUUGAACCGCUUGGUUCAAAAGUGAAAGCCGGUCUUGCUGUCACUUAUAGAUGGAUCCGCGCUGCAUUAGCUAGUUGGUAAGGUAACGGCUUACCAAGGCAACGAUGCAUAGCCGACCUGAAAGGGUGAUCGGCCACACUGGAACGGAGACACGGUCCAGACUCCUACGGGAGGGAGCAGUAGGGAAUCGUCCGCAAUGGGCGAAAGCCUGACAGAGCAACGCCGCGUGAGUGAUGAAGGUCUUCGGAUCGUAAAACUCUGUUAUUAGGGAAGAACAUAUGUGUAAGUAACUGUGCACAUCUUGACGGUACCUAAUCAGAAAGCCACGGCUAACUACGUG
RNAcentral lists this ribosomal RNA (497 nucleotides) under uncultured bacterium. Its description in RNAcentral is "partial 16S ribosomal RNA". It matches the Rfam family "Bacterial small subunit ribosomal RNA", at positions 28 to 507 of the family's 1533-position model. The record is from RNAcentral.